GCGAUGUAGCUCAGCCUGGUUAGAGCGAGGGAUUCAUAAACCCUAGGUCACAGGUUCAAAUCCUGUCAUCGCC
This 73-nucleotide transfer RNA is filed under the name marine eukaryotic metagenome. It matches the Rfam family "tRNA". Rfam says of the family: Transfer RNA (tRNA) molecules are approximately 80 nucleotides in length. Their secondary structure includes four short double-helical elements and three loops (D, anti-codon, and T loops). The record is from RNAcentral.